RNAcentral lists this unclassified non-coding RNA (329 nucleotides) under soil metagenome. RNAcentral describes it as "partial contains 5.8S ribosomal RNA, internal transcribed spacer 2, and large subunit ribosomal RNA". The stretch from base 1 to 120 matches the Rfam family "5.8S ribosomal RNA", at positions 35 to 154 of the family's 154-position model. The record is from RNAcentral.
GAUGAAGAACGUAGCGAAAUGCGAUAAGUAAUGUGAAUUGCAGAAUUCAGUGAAUCAUCGAAUCUUUGAACGCACAUUGCGCCCCCUGGUAUUCCGGGGGGCAUGCCUGUUCGAGCGUCAUUACAACCCUCAAGCUCUGCUUGGUAUUGGGCCCCGCCAGUUCUGGCGGGCCCUAAAGUCAGUGGCGGUGCCUCCCGGCUCCGAGCGUAGUAAUUCUUCUCGCUCUGGAGACCCGGUUGUGUGCUUGCCAACAACCCCCAAUUUUUUAAGGUUGACCUCGGAUCAGGUAGGGAUACCCGCUGAACUUAAGCAUAUCAAUAAGCGGAGGA